CCUACGGGUGGCAGCAGUGGGGAAUAUUGCGCAAUGGGCGAAAGCCUGACGCAGCGACGCCGCGUGAGGGAUGAAGGUCUUCGGAUCGUAAACCUCUGUCAGCAGGGAAGAACGGUCACUGUGCUAAUCAGCAGUGAAUUGACGGUACCUGCAAAGGAAGCACCGGCUAACUCCGUGCCAGCAGCCGCGGUAAUACGGAGGGUGCGAGCGUUAAUCGGAAUUACUGGGCGUAAAGCGCUCGUAGGCGGUAUGUCAAGUCAAGUGUGAAAUCCCCGCGCUCAACGUGGGAACUGCCUUUGAAACUGGCAAACUUGAGUGUGUGAGAGGAAAGUGGAAGUCGUGGUGUAGGAGUGAAAUCCGUAGAUAUCUGGAGGAACAGCAGUGGCGAAGGCGACUAUCUGGCACAUAACUGACGCUGAGGAGCGAAAGCGUGGGUAGCAAACAGGAUUAGAUACCCUUGUAGUC
This 465-nucleotide ribosomal RNA is filed under the name uncultured bacterium. RNAcentral's name for it is "partial 16S ribosomal RNA". It matches the Rfam family "Bacterial small subunit ribosomal RNA", at positions 338 to 795 of the family's 1533-position model. The record is from RNAcentral.